UACAGAGGUCUCAAGCGUUGUUCGGAUUCAUUGGGCGUAAAGAGCUCGUAGGCGGCCACUCAAGUCGAAUGUGAAACCUCGAGGCUUAACCUCGAGCCUGCAUUCGAUACUGGGCGGCUAGAGUCUGGUAGGGGGAUCUGGAAUUCCGCGUGUAGCAGUGAAAUGCGUAGAUAUGCGGAGGAACACCGAUGGCGAAGGCAAUCCCCUGGGCCUGUACUGACGCUCAUGCACGAAAGCGUGGGGAGCAAACAGG
This 253-nucleotide ribosomal RNA is filed under the name uncultured bacterium. RNAcentral's name for it is "partial 16S ribosomal RNA". It matches the Rfam family "Bacterial small subunit ribosomal RNA", at positions 524 to 776 of the family's 1533-position model. The record is from RNAcentral.